This 477-nucleotide ribosomal RNA is filed under the name uncultured bacterium. RNAcentral describes it as "partial 16S ribosomal RNA". It matches the Rfam family "Bacterial small subunit ribosomal RNA", at positions 30 to 507 of the family's 1533-position model. The record is from RNAcentral.
AUUGAACGCUGGCGGCAUGCCUUACACAUGCAAGUCGAACGGUAACAGGUUAAGCUGACGAGUGGCGAACGGGUGAGUAAUGUAUCGGAACGUGCCCAGUCGUGGGGGAUAACUGCUCGAAAGAGCAGCUAAUACCGCAUACGACCUGAGGGUGAAAGCGGGGGAUCGCAAGACCUCGCGCGAUUGGAGCGGCCGAUAUCAGAUUAGGUAGUUGGUGAGGUAAAGGCUCACCAAGCCGACGAUCUGUAGCUGGUCUGAGAGGACGACCAGCCACACUGGGACUGAGACACGGCCCAGACUCCUACGGGAGGCAGCAGUGGGGAAUUUUGGACGAUGGGCGAAAGCCUGAUCCAGCCAUGCCGCGUGCAGGAAGAAGGCCUUCGGGUUGUAAACCGCUUUUGUCAGGGAAGAAAAGGUUCUGGCUAAUACCUGGGACUCAUGACGGUACCUGAAGAAUAAGCACCGGCUAACUACGUG